This 253-nucleotide ribosomal RNA is filed under the name uncultured bacterium. RNAcentral's name for it is "partial 16S ribosomal RNA". It matches the Rfam family "Bacterial small subunit ribosomal RNA", at positions 524 to 776 of the family's 1533-position model. The record is from RNAcentral.
UACGAAGGGGGCUAGCGUUGUUCGGAAUUACUGGGCGUAAAGCGCACGCAGGCGGUCUUGUAAGUUUGACGUGAAAGCUCCCGGCUUAACUGGGAGAGGUCGUUGAAGACUGCAAGACUUGAGGAAAUGAGAGGGGUGUAGAAUUCCCGGUGUAGUGGUGGAAUGCGUAGAUAUCGGGGGGAAUACCAGUGGCGAAAGCGGCACCCUAGCAUUUUUCUGACGCUCAUGUGCGAAAGCGUGGGGAGCGAACGGG